UCUCUGGUGGUCCAGUGGCUAAGACUCUGCACUCAUAAUGCAGGGGUCCUGGGUUCAAUCCCUGGUCAGGGAA
RNAcentral lists this transfer RNA (73 nucleotides) under Bos taurus (domestic cattle). It matches the Rfam family "tRNA". Rfam says of the family: Transfer RNA (tRNA) molecules are approximately 80 nucleotides in length. Their secondary structure includes four short double-helical elements and three loops (D, anti-codon, and T loops). The record is from Rfam by way of RNAcentral. RNAcentral also lists the same sequence under 5 other names. Lineage: Eukaryota; Metazoa; Chordata; Mammalia; Artiodactyla; Bovidae.